UAGCCGUAAACGAUACUCGCUAGGUGUCGGCCACGGUGCGACCGUUGUCGGUGCCGUAGGGAAGCCGUGAAGCGAGCCACCUGGGAAGUACGGCCGCAAGGCUGAAACUUAAAGGAAUUGGCGGGGGAGCACAACAACGGGUGGAGCUUGCGGUUUAAUUGGAUUCAACGCCGGGAAAUCUUACCGGGACCGACAGCAACAUGAAGGCCAAGCUGAAGACUUUGCCGGAUUAGCUGAGAGGAGGUGCAUGGCGUAGUCGUGU
RNAcentral lists this ribosomal RNA (262 nucleotides) under uncultured archaeon. Its description in RNAcentral is "partial 16S ribosomal RNA". It matches the Rfam family "Archaeal small subunit ribosomal RNA", at positions 748 to 1009 of the family's 1478-position model. The record is from RNAcentral.